GGUUAAGCGACUAAGCGUACACGGUGGAUGCCCUGGCAGUCAGAGGCGAUGAAGGACGUGCUAAUCUGCGAUAAGCGUCGGUAAGGUGAUAUGAACCGUUAUAACCGGCGAUUUCCGAAUGGGGAAACCCAGUGUGAUUCGUCACACUAUCAUUAACUGAAUCCAUAGGUUAAUGAGGCGAACCGGGGGAACUGAAACAUCUAAGUACCCCGAGGAAAAGAAAUCAACCGAGAUUCCCCCAGUAGCGGCGAGCGAACGGGGAGCAGCCCAGAGCCUGAAUCAGUGUGUGUGUUAGUGGAAGCGUCUGGAAAGGCGCGCGAUACAGGGUGACAGCCCCGUACACAAAAAUGCACAUACUGUGAGCUCGAUGAGUAGGGCGGGACACGUGGUAUCCUGUCUGAAUAUGGGGGGACCAUCCUCCAAGGCUAAAUACUCCUGACUGACCGAUAGUGAACCAGUACCGUGAGGGAAAGGCGAAAAGAACCCCGGCGAGGGGAGUGAAAAAGAACCUGAAACCGUGUAUGUACAAGCAGUGGGAGCACGCUUAGGCGUGUGACUGCGUACCUUUUGUAUAAUGGGUCAGCGACUUAUAUUCUGUAGCAAGGUUAACCGAAUAGGGGAGCCGAAGGGAAACCGAGUCUUAACUGGGCGUUAAGUUGCAGGGUAUAGACCCGAAACCCGGUGAUCUAGCCAUGGGCAGGUUGAAGGUUGGGUAACACUAACUGGAGGACCGAACCGACUAAUGUUGAAAAAUUAGCGGAUGACUUGUGGCUGGGGGUGAAAGGCCAAUCAAACCGGGAGAUAGCUGGUUCUCCCCGAAAGCUAUUUAGGUAGCGCCUCGUGAAUUCAUCUCCGGGGGUAGAGCACUGUUUCGGCAAGGGGGUCAUCCCGACUUACCAACCCGAUGCAAACUGCGAAUACCGGAGAAUGUUAUCACGGGAGACACACGGCGGGUGCUAACGUCCGUCGUGAAGAGGGAAACAACCCAGACCGCCAGCUAAGGUCCCAAAGUCAUGGUUAAGUGGGAAACGAUGUGGGAAGGCCCAGACAGCCAGGAUGUUGGCUUAGAAGCAGCCAUCAUUUAAAGAAAGCGUAAUAGCUCACUGGUCGAGUCGGCCUGCGCGGAAGAUGUAACGGGGCUAAACCAUGCACCGAAGCUGCGGCAGCGACGCUGAUGCGUUGUUGGGUAGGGGAGCGUUCUGUAAGCCUGCGAAGGUGUGCUGUGAGGCAUGCUGGAGGUAUCAGAAGUGCGAAUGCUGACAUAAGUAACGAUAAAGCGGGUGAAAAGCCCGCUCGCCGGAAGACCAAGGGUUCCUGUCCAACGUUAAUCGGGGCAGGGUGAGUCGACCCCUAAGGCGAGGCCGAAAGGCGUAGUCGAUGGGAAACAGGUUAAUAUUCCUGUACUUGGUGUUACUGCGAAGGGGGGACGGAGAAGGCUAUGUUGGCCGGGCGACGGUUGUCCCGGUUUAAGCGUGUAGGCUGGUUUUCCAGGCAAAUCCGGAAAAUCAAGGCUGAGGCGUGAUGACGAGGCACUACGGUGCUGAAGCAACAAAUGCCCUGCUUCCAGGAAAAGCCUCUAAGCAUCAGGUAACAUCAAAUCGUACCCCAAACCGACACAGGUGGUCAGGUAGAGAAUACCAAGGCGCUUGAGAGAACUCGGGUGAAGGAACUAGGCAAAAUGGUGCCGUAACUUCGGGAGAAGGCACGCUGAUAUGUAGGUGAAGUCCCUCGCGGAUGGAGCUGAAAUCAGUCGAAGAUACCAGCUGGCUGCAACUGUUUAUUAAAAACACAGCACUGUGCAAACACGAAAGUGGACGUAUACGGUGUGACGCCUGCCCGGUGCCGGAAGGUUAAUUGAUGGGGUCAGCGCAAGCGAAGCUCUUGAUCGAAGCCCCGGUAAACGGCGGCCGUAACUAUAACGGUCCUAAGGUAGCGAAAUUCCUUGUCGGGUAAGUUCCGACCUGCACGAAUGGCGUAAUGAUGGCCAGGCUGUCUCCACCCGAGACUCAGUGAAAUUGAACUCGCUGUGAAGAUGCAGUGUACCCGCGGCAAGACGGAAAGACCCCGUGAACCUUUACUAUAGCUUGACACUGAACAUUGAGCCUUGAUGUGUAGGAUAGGUGGGAGGCUUUGAAGUGUGGACGCCAGUCUGCAUGGAGCCGACCUUGAAAUACCACCCUUUAAUGUUUGAUGUUCUAACGUGGACCCGUAAUCCGGGUUGCGGACAGUGUCUGGUGGGUAGUUUGACUGGGGCGGUCUCCUCCUAAAGAGUAACGGAGGAGCACGAAGGUUGGCUAAUCCUGGUCGGACAUCAGGAGGUUAGUGCAAUGGCAUAAGCCAGCUUGACUGCGAGCGUGACGGCGCGAGCAGGUGCGAAAGCAGGUCAUAGUGAUCCGGUGGUUCUGAAUGGAAGGGCCAUCGCUCAACGGAUAAAAGGUACUCCGGGGAUAACAGGCUGAUACCGCCCAAGAGUUCAUAUCGACGGCGGUGUUUGGCACCUCGAUGUCGGCUCAUCACAUCCUGGGGCUGAAGUAGGUCCCAAGGGUAUGGCUGUUCGCCAUUUAAAGUGGUACGCGAGCUGGGUUUAGAACGUCGUGAGACAGUUCGGUCCCUAUCUGCCGUGGGCGCUGGAGAAUUGAGGGGGGCUGCUCCUAGUACGAGAGGACCGGAGUGGACGCAUCACUGGUGUUCGGGUUGUCAUGCCAAUGGCACUGCCCGGUAGCUAAAUGCGGAAGAGAUAAGUGCUGAAAGCAUCUAAGCACGAAACUUGCCCCGAGAUGAGUUCUCCCUGACUCCUUGAGAGUCCUGAAGGAACGUUGAAGACGACGACGUUGAUAGGCCGGGUGUGUAAGCGCAGCGAUGCGUUGAGCUAACCGGUACUAAUGAACCGUGAGGCUUAACCUUACAACGCCGAAGGUGUUUUG
This 2924-nucleotide ribosomal RNA is filed under the name Escherichia coli B7A. Its description in RNAcentral is "bacterial LSU rRNA". It matches the Rfam family "Bacterial large subunit ribosomal RNA". The record is from RNAcentral. Lineage: Bacteria; Pseudomonadati; Pseudomonadota; Gammaproteobacteria; Enterobacterales; Enterobacteriaceae.